Molecule: ribosomal RNA, 481 nt
Filed under: uncultured bacterium
Lineage: Bacteria
Description: partial 16S ribosomal RNA
Rfam family: Bacterial small subunit ribosomal RNA
Source: RNAcentral
ACGAACGCUGGCGGCGCGCCUAACACAUGCAAGUCGAACGAGCGAGAGAGAGCUUGCUUUCUCGAGCGAGUGGCGAACGGGUGAGUAACGCGUGAGGAACCUGCCUCAAAGAGGGGGACAACAGUUGGAAACGACUGCUAAUACCGCAUAAGCCCACGGGCCGGCAUCGACCAGAGGGAAAAGGAGCAAUCCGCUUUGAGAUGGCCUCGCGUCCGAUUAGCUAGUUGGUGAGGUAACGGCCCACCAAGGCGACGAUCGGUAGCCGGACUGAGAGGUUGAACGGCCACAUUGGGACUGAGACACGGCCCAGACUCCUACGGGAGGCAGCAGUGGGGAAUAUUGCACAAUGGGGGAAACCCUGAUGCAGCGACGCCGCGUGGAGGAAGAAGGUCUUCGGAUUGUAAACUCCUGUUGUUGGGGAAGAUAAUGACGGUACCCAACAAGGAAGUGACGGCUAACUACGUGCCAGCAGCCGCAGUAA